RNAcentral lists this ribosomal RNA (497 nucleotides) under uncultured bacterium. RNAcentral's name for it is "partial 16S ribosomal RNA". It matches the Rfam family "Bacterial small subunit ribosomal RNA", at positions 28 to 507 of the family's 1533-position model. The record is from RNAcentral.
GAUGAACGCUGGCGGCGUGCCUAAUACAUGCAAGUCGAGCGAACGGACGAGAAGCUUGCUUUUCUGAUGUUAGCGGCGGACGGGUGAGUAACACGUGGAUAACCUACCUAUAAGACUGGGAUAACUUCGGGAAACCGGAGCUAAUACCGGAUAAUAUUUUGAACCGCAUGGUUCAAAAGUGAAAGACGGUCUUGCUGUCACUUAUAGAUGGAGCCGCGCUGCAUUAGCUAGUUGGUAAGGUAACGGCUUACCAAGGCAACGAUGCAUAGCCGACCUGAGAGGGUGAUCGGCCACACUGGAACUGAGACACGGUCCAGACUCCUACGGGAGGCAGCAGUAGGGAAUCUUCCGCAAUGGGCGAAAGCCUGACGGAGCAACGCCGCGUGAGUGAUGAAGGUCUUCGGAUCGUAAAACUCUGUUAUUAGGGAAGAACAUAUGUGUAAGUAACUGUGCACAUCUUGACGGUACCUAAUCAGAAAGCCACGGCUAACUACGUG